RNAcentral lists this ribosomal RNA (309 nucleotides) under uncultured bacterium. RNAcentral's name for it is "partial 16S ribosomal RNA". It matches the Rfam family "Bacterial small subunit ribosomal RNA", at positions 1 to 334 of the family's 1533-position model. The record is from RNAcentral.
AGUGUAGAUUCAGAGUUUGAUCCUGGCUCAGAACGAACGCUGGCGGCAGGCUUAACACAUGCAAGUCGAGCGGGCCCUUCGGGGUCAGCGGCAGACGGGUGAGUAACACGUGGGAACGUACCCUUUGGUUCGGAACAACUCCGGGAAACUGGAGCUAAUACCGGAUAAGCCCUAACGGGGAAAGAUUUAUCGCCGAAGGAUCGGCCCGCGUCUGAUUAGCUAGUUGGUGGGGUAAUGGCCCACCAAGGCGACGAUCAGUAGCUGGUCUGAGAGGAUGAUCAGCCACACUGGGACUGAGACACGGCCCAG